UGCCUACGGGGCGCAGCAGUGAGGAAUAUUGGUCAAUGGGCGAGAGCCUGAACCAGCCAAGUCGCGUGAGGGAGUACUGCCCUAUGGGUUGUAAACCUCUUUUGUCGGGGAACAAAGGCGGAGACGCGUCUCCGGAUGAGUGUACCCGAAGAAAAAGCAUCGGCUAACUCCGUGCCAGCAGCCGCGGUAAUACGGAGGAUGCGAGCGUUAACCGGAUUUAUUGGGUUUAAAGGGUGCGCAGGCGGGAGAUCAAGUCAGCGGUAAAAUGUCGGGGCUCAACCCCGACCGGCCGUUGAAACUGGUUU
Molecule: ribosomal RNA, 305 nt
Filed under: uncultured bacterium
Lineage: Bacteria
Description: bacterial SSU rRNA
Rfam family: Bacterial small subunit ribosomal RNA
Source: RNAcentral